This 370-nucleotide ribosomal RNA is filed under the name uncultured prokaryote. RNAcentral describes it as "bacterial SSU rRNA". It matches the Rfam family "Bacterial small subunit ribosomal RNA", at positions 524 to 896 of the family's 1533-position model. The record is from RNAcentral.
UACGGAGGGUGCAAGCGUUAUCCGGAUUCACUGGGUUUAAAGGGAGCGUAGGUGGGCAGGUAAGUCAGUGGUGAAAUCUCCGAGCUUAACUCGGAAACUGCCAUUGAUACUAUUUGUCUUGAAUAUCCUGGAGGUAAGCGGAAUAUGUCAUGUAGCGGUGAAAUGCUUAGAUAUGACAUAGAACACCCAUUGCGAAGGCAGCUUACUACGGGAUUAUUGACACUGAGGCUCGAAAGCGUGGGGAUCAAACAGGAUUAGAUACCCUGGUAGUCCACGCCCUAAACGAUGGAUACUCGACAUCAGCGAUACACUGUUGGUGUCUGAGCGAAAGCAUUAAGUAUCCCACCUGGGAAGUACGACCGCAAGGUUG